CUAGGCUUUCCCAGUCCAGGCAGUACCCUCGAGAGGAGGCAUAAUAGAGAGAGGAGGGGGACACUGGACUUGGAGUCAGAAGAACUGAG
MicroRNA precursor from Cricetulus griseus (Chinese hamster), 89 nucleotides. Lineage: Eukaryota; Metazoa; Chordata; Mammalia; Rodentia; Cricetidae. The record is from Ensembl.